CCUGGUGGUUAUGGCGGGGCGGCUGCACCCGUUCCCAUUCCGAACACGGCCGUGAAAUGCCCCAGCGCCUAUGGUACUUCGUCUUAAGACGCGGGAGAGUCGGUCGCUGCCAGGU
Molecule: ribosomal RNA, 115 nt
Filed under: Rhizobium sp. Root1203
Lineage: Bacteria; Pseudomonadati; Pseudomonadota; Alphaproteobacteria; Hyphomicrobiales; Rhizobiaceae
Source: RNAcentral